This 74-nucleotide transfer RNA is filed under the name Cordylochernes scorpioides. RNAcentral's name for it is "tRNA-Thr". The record is from RNAcentral. Lineage: Eukaryota; Metazoa; Arthropoda; Arachnida; Pseudoscorpiones; Chernetidae.
UGUCAGGGAUGGGAAUCGAACCCACAGUGUUCCGCUUACCGGGCAGAUGCCAUGUCCACUAGGUUACCCUGGAC